This 326-nucleotide ribosomal RNA is filed under the name uncultured eukaryote. Its description in RNAcentral is "partial 18S ribosomal RNA". It matches the Rfam family "Eukaryotic small subunit ribosomal RNA", at positions 1470 to 1796 of the family's 1831-position model. The record is from RNAcentral.
CCCUUAGAUGUUCUGGGCUGCACGCGCGCUACACUGAUGCACUCAACGAGUUUACGACCUUGCCCGAUAGGGUUGGGUAAUCUUUUUAAAAUGCAUCGUGAUGGGGAUAGAUUAUUGCAAUUAUUAAUCUUCAACGAGGAAUUCCUAGUAAGCGCGAGUCAUCAGCUCGUGCUGAUUACGUCCCUGCCCUUUGUACACACCGCCCGUCGCUCCUACCGAUUGAGUGCUCAGGUGAAUAAUUCGGACUGCAGCAAUGUUUGGAUCCCGAACGUUGCAACGGAAAGUUUAGUGAACCUUAUCAUCUAGAGGAAGGUGAAGUCGUAACA